Long non-coding RNA from Papilio polytes (common Mormon), 739 nucleotides. RefSeq lists it as uncharacterized. The transcript has 2 exons. The record is from RefSeq and is a predicted model, not a curated record. NCBI's taxonomy places the organism in Eukaryota, Metazoa, Arthropoda, Insecta, Lepidoptera, Papilionidae.
UUACGACAUAUUUUACGAGCAAAUUUUUCGAUCAAUAUGUUGAAAAAAAAUAGUAAAAGUUAUUUGAGUAGCUAAUAUUCAAUUUACGUCUGGUCACAUUGAAUCAGCUGUUGUCAGUAUUUGUCACAACUUUAAAUCCAAACUUUAUAAUUAUAAUAAAAGUUACAUUUUUUUAAAUUGAUAUUUUGUAUUCAUAAUUUAUUUGUACUUUAAUUAUUCCUUUCCAUCCACAAGCAACAAUAAAUAUAUAAUAUGUUGAUAGUAUAACCUUCUCUUCAAAAUUUCGUGUUACUGAUAAAAGAUUUAACAUAAUGGAAACUGGAUUAAUCAAAGGAACUUAACGAAGAUAGAUUUCUUGAUGAACCUCAAGAUAUGCAUGGUGAUGAUGCCUUAUGUGCUGUUAAAAAGUGAUGAUAUUAUUUAUAUUGUAAAUGCCUGUUCCAUGAAGAGACCAUGAAAAGCUACAUUCAGAAUAGAAGAUUUAAAAUAAUUUACAAAUACUGAAGCAUGUUACCGGGACAGAAAUUGCUACUUUAACAUAACCCAAACAAAUCUUAAUAAAGUUGUAACAUUAGUAAAAAUAUGUUAAAACUAUUUUAUUAUCAUCUUAUUAGCAAUAGAAUAAAUACAAAUUAUUAGUAUGGUAGUGUUUUAUUUCCUGUUUUACACUUCCUCAGAUAGUAAACCGCUUAUUAAGAAGUUUAGCAAAUUUGUUAGGUGACAAGCAAGCAAUGAAUCA